Molecule: long non-coding RNA, 446 nt
Filed under: Homo sapiens (human)
Lineage: Eukaryota; Metazoa; Chordata; Mammalia; Primates; Hominidae
Description: HSALNT0373131
Source: RNAcentral
AGACUACUUCGUGCAGAAUCUGAAGCUAUGUUGAGCUGUUAGUGACUGCUAAUCGGAUCCUAGGAUGUGUUUUUUCUUUUCUAUGCCAGCCCAACCAUUAAACUGUGGAGAAGGAAGGUGGAGAGUGCCUGUAUAUGGAAAGAAGAAAAGCUAACUUCAUGGCUUUCUUGUAUUAACUGAGGCUUCCAGUUUAUAAAUGGAGAAAGAAUGAUGGAACCAGAUCAUUAUCAUUUUGCAACAGCUGAUAAAAUAGUGGGCACAGACAACAACAGUUAAUGGCUACUGACAUCACAAAGAGACUAUCAGACAUUAUAGGCUUCCUUUUGGAAUAUACAACACCAGCACGAAAUAUUUCUGCCAAAUAAUCUAACCUCAUUGUAUUCAAGUCUCUGCUCCUUACAGAAGCUCUCUCUUUAUCUAAACUGGGAGGCAGCUGGGAAUUUGGA